UGAAAAUGCUUGCCUUUUCUUCUGGUUUCU
This 30-nucleotide non-coding RNA is filed under the name Rattus norvegicus (Norway rat). Lineage: Eukaryota; Metazoa; Chordata; Mammalia; Rodentia; Muridae. The record is from RNAcentral.